CCUACGGGUGGCAGCAGUGGGGAAUGUUGGACAAUGGGCGCAAGCCUGAUCCAGCUAUUCCGCGUGUGGGAUGACGGCCCUCGGGUUGUAAACCACUUUAGGAGAGAACGAAAAGGAGCGAGCGAAUAAAUAGCUCUGCUGACGGUACGCGAAGAAGAAGCACCGGCUAACUACGUGCCAGCAGCCGCGGUAAUACGUAGGGGGCGAGCGUUAAUCGGAAUUACUGGGCGUAAAGGGUGUGCAGGCGGCUGAGUAAGACAGAGUUGAAAUCCCCGGGCGUAACCUGGGAACCGCUUAUGUGCCUCCUUGGCUAGAGUGCGUCAUAGGGAGGUGGACUUCCACGUGUAGCCGUGAAAUGCGUAGAUAUGUGGCAGACCCCCGAUGGCGCAGGCAGCCUCCUGGGACGCAACUGACGCUCAUUCACGCAAGCGUGGGGAGCAAACAGGAUUAGCUCCCCCAGUAGUC
Molecule: ribosomal RNA, 465 nt
Filed under: uncultured bacterium
Lineage: Bacteria
Description: partial 16S ribosomal RNA
Rfam family: Bacterial small subunit ribosomal RNA
Source: RNAcentral